GUUAGACGGGGCCCGGCACAAGCGGUGGAGUAUGUGGUUUAAUUCGAUGCAACGCGAAGAACCUUACCUGGUCUUGACAUCCCGGAGACCCUUAGGAAACUAGGGGGUGCUUCCAUCUGGAAGAAUCUGGAGACAGGUGCUGCAUGGCUGUCGUCAGCUCGUGUCGUGAGAUGUUGGGUUAAGUCCCGCAACGAGCGCAACCCUUGCCUUUAGUUGCCAGCAGUUCGGCUGGGCACUCUAAAGGGACUGCCGGUGUUAAACCGGAGGAAGGUGGGGAUGACGUCAAGUCCUCAUGGCCUUUAUGACCAGGGCUACACACGUACUACAAUGGCCGAUACAAAGGGCAGCGACACUGCGAGGUGAAGCCAAUCCCGUAAAAUCGGUCUCAGUCCGGAUUGGAGUCUGCAACUCGACUCCAUGAAGUUGGAAUCGCUAGUAAUCGUGGAUCAGCAUGCCACGGUGAAUACGUUCCCGGGCCUU
This 480-nucleotide ribosomal RNA is filed under the name uncultured Desulfobulbus sp. RNAcentral's name for it is "bacterial SSU rRNA". It matches the Rfam family "Bacterial small subunit ribosomal RNA", at positions 916 to 1381 of the family's 1533-position model. The record is from RNAcentral. Lineage: Bacteria; Pseudomonadati; Thermodesulfobacteriota; Desulfobulbia; Desulfobulbales; Desulfobulbaceae.